UACGAAGGGGGCUAGCGUUACUCGGAUUGACUGGGCGUAAAGGGCGCGUAGGCGGUUUGUACAGUCAGACGUGAAAAUUCCUGGGCUCAACCUGGGGGCUGCGUUUGAUACGUGCAGACUUGAGUUCGGAAGAGGGUCGUGGAAUUCCCAGUGUAGAGGUGAAAUUCGUAGAUAUUGGGAAGAACACCGGUGGCGAAGGCGGCGACCUGGUCCGAUACUGACGCUGAGGCGCGAAAGCGUGGGGAGCAAACAGG
RNAcentral lists this ribosomal RNA (254 nucleotides) under uncultured bacterium. RNAcentral describes it as "partial 16S ribosomal RNA". It matches the Rfam family "Bacterial small subunit ribosomal RNA", at positions 524 to 776 of the family's 1533-position model. The record is from RNAcentral.